GAUGAACGCUAGCGGGAGGCUUAACACAUGCAAGUCGAGGGGCAGCAUGGGGUAGCAAUACCCUGAUGGCGACCGGCAGACGGGUGAGUAACGCGUAUGUAACCUACCCUGUACAGGGGGAUAACCCGGAGAAAUUCGGACUAAUAUCCCAUAGAAAUAUUGGAAGGCAUCUUUUGAUAUUUAAAGUUCCGGCGGUACGGGAUGGGCAUGCGUAACAUUAGCUAGUUGGUAAGGUAAAGGCUUACCAAGGCUUUGAUGUUUAGGGGUCCUGAGAGGGUGGUCCCCCACACUGGUACUGAGACACGGACCAGACUCCUACGGGAGGCAGCAGUGAGGAAUAUUGGUCAAUGGGCGCAAGCCUGAACCAGCCAUCCCGCGUGCAGGAAGACGGCGCUAUGCGUUGUAAACUGCUUUUCCAGGGGGAGAAACUUGCGCACGUGUUGCGCAAUUGACGGUACCCUGGGAAUAAGCAUCGGCUAACUCCGUGCCAGCAGCCGCGGUAAAUCUCG
This 509-nucleotide ribosomal RNA is filed under the name uncultured bacterium. RNAcentral describes it as "bacterial SSU rRNA". It matches the Rfam family "Bacterial small subunit ribosomal RNA", at positions 28 to 529 of the family's 1533-position model. The record is from RNAcentral.